GAUGAACGCUGGCGGCGUGCCUAAUACAUGCAAGUCGAGCGAACAGACGAGGAGCUUGCUCCUCUGACGUUAGCGGCGGACGGGUGAGUAACACGUGGAUAACCUACCUAUAAGACUGGGAUAACUUCGGGAAACCGGAGCUAAUACCGUAUAAUAUAUUGAACCGCAUGGUUCAAUAGUGAAAUACGGUUUUGCUGUCACUUAUAGCUGGAUCCGCGCCGCAUUAGCUAGUUGGUAAGGUAACGGCUUACCAAGGCAACGAUGCGUAGCCGACCUGAGAGGGUGAUCGGCCACACUGGAACUGAGACACGGUCAAGACGCCUACGGGAGGCAGCAGUAGGGAAUCGGCCGCAAUGGGCGAAAGCCUGACGGAGCAACGCCGCGUGAGUGAUGAAGGUCUUCGGAGCGUAAAAAUCUGUUAUUAGGGAAGAACAAAUGUGUAAGUAAAUAUGCACGUCUUGACGGUACCUAAUCAGAAAGCCACGGCUAACUACGUG
Molecule: ribosomal RNA, 497 nt
Filed under: uncultured bacterium
Lineage: Bacteria
Description: partial 16S ribosomal RNA
Rfam family: Bacterial small subunit ribosomal RNA
Source: RNAcentral